Molecule: long non-coding RNA, 263 nt
Filed under: Lathyrus oleraceus (garden pea)
Lineage: Eukaryota; Viridiplantae; Streptophyta; Magnoliopsida; Fabales; Fabaceae
Description: Pisum sativum (pea) long non-coding RNA (PSAT_LNC013565)
Source: RNAcentral
AAAAUAUGCACAAAAACAAUUAAUUCAUGAAAAAUGCCAAAAUUAAUCCAAAAAAUAAUUUUAAUUUAGAAAAUGAAAGAGGAGAAUAUUUAGAGAUUUUUGGUGAAAGUCCCAUAUUUUUUGGAUUAAAAAUGAAAUUAAUAUGAAUUAAUCAAAAUAAAUGGAUUAAAUGAAAAAUCAUAAAAUAAAAAUAAAAUAAAAAAAACAAGGGACAUCAGAUCUCCCUCAUUAAUUUAGGUGGCAAAUCAGAUGGCUAAAAGCGC